GCAGGGUCACCUUUGAAGGAGCGGGUGCAUUACACUCAGAUCGCUCACAGCUGCGUCAAACAAACUCCAGGAGAAAGGACUGCGGGGAGCCACCGAACUGCAUAAAGGGAGGCUCUUGGGAGUGGAACUGUGGCAGUUUCCUUCUCUUUAUGUUUCUGUUAUCUUUUAUGUUUCCAGGUUUCUCCUUAUUCUCUAAGACGAGUAGUAUUGCCUGGACGAGGAACGCCCUACACAGUGCCUGCCAAAGGCUGACUGUCAUCCCUGUGUCAUUUGAGGGUUUACAGAGGAGGAAACGGAAGGCUCCAGAGAUGACACUCACCGGGAUCGGGGAUCGCACAGCGCGGGCUCGGGGAAGUUGGGGGAGGCACGCAACCUUUGAACCUUUUGCCCGUGGUUGGUGUCUGACCUUGGACAAGACCCCCUCCCGCAGCCCUGGGCGUCGGUUGUGAGCAGACGGCUGUCCCAUCUUGCAGCGGGCGGGUGGGCAGGAGCUCCACCUUCCGCUGCAGGCGCUCGCCCAGAGGAAG
RNAcentral lists this long non-coding RNA (527 nucleotides) under Homo sapiens (human). RNAcentral describes it as "HSALNT0039506". The record is from RNAcentral. Lineage: Eukaryota; Metazoa; Chordata; Mammalia; Primates; Hominidae.